Molecule: ribosomal RNA, 253 nt
Filed under: uncultured bacterium
Lineage: Bacteria
Description: partial 16S ribosomal RNA
Rfam family: Bacterial small subunit ribosomal RNA
Source: RNAcentral
UACAGGGGGGGCAAGCGCUGUUCGGAAUUACUGGGCGUAAAGGGUUCGUAGGUGGCUUACUAAGUCAAACGUGAAAUCCCUCAGCUUAACUGGGGAACUGCGUCUGAUACUGGAAAGCUUGAGUGCAGGAGAGGAACGCGGAAUUCCAGGUGUAGCGGUGAAAUGCGUAGAUAUCGGGAGGAAUACCGAUGGCGAAGGCAGGUCUCUGGGCUGACACUGACGCUCAUGCACGAAAGCGUGGGGAGCAAACAGG